UGGGGGAUAUUGCACAAUGGGCGAAAGCCUGAUGCAGCGACGCCGCGUGGGGGAUGAAGGCCUUCGGGUUGUAAACUUCUUUUGCUCUGAACAAGGCAUGCCUUUGGGGUGUGUUGAGUGUAGGGGUUGAUUAGCGCCGGCUAACUACGUGCCAGCAGCCGCGGUAAUACGUAGGGCGCGAGCGUUGUCCGGAAUUAUUGGGCGUAAAGGGCUUGUAGGUGGCUGGUUGCGUCUGUCGUGAAAGCUCAUGGCUUAACUGUGGGUUUGCGGUGGGUACGGGCUGGCUUGAGUGCAGUAGGGGAGGCUGGAAUUCCUGGUGUAGCGGUGGAAUGCGCGGAUAUCAGGAGGAAUACCGGUGGCGAAGGCGGGUCUCUGGGCUGUUACUGACGCUGAGGAGCGAAAGCGUGGGGAGCGAACAGG
RNAcentral lists this ribosomal RNA (420 nucleotides) under Fusobacteriota bacterium. RNAcentral describes it as "Fusobacteria bacterium partial 16S ribosomal RNA". It matches the Rfam family "Bacterial small subunit ribosomal RNA", at positions 355 to 776 of the family's 1533-position model. Lineage: Bacteria; Fusobacteriati; Fusobacteriota. The record is from RNAcentral.